GUCCACGCUGUAAACGAUGUGUGCUAGACGUUGGGGAGCCUAGCUCUUCGGUGUCGCAGCUAACGCGGUAAGCACACCGCCUGGGGAGUACGGCCGCAAGGUUAAAACUCAAAGGAAUUGACGGGGGCCCGCACAAGCGGUGGAGCAUGUGGUUUAAUUCGACGCAACGCGAAGAACCUUACCAGCUCUUGACAUGUCUCGUAUGGGUGGGGGAGACCGCACCCUUCGGUUCGGCCGGCGGGAACACAGGUGCUGCAUGGCUGUCGU
RNAcentral lists this ribosomal RNA (267 nucleotides) under uncultured bacterium. Its description in RNAcentral is "partial 16S ribosomal RNA". It matches the Rfam family "Bacterial small subunit ribosomal RNA", at positions 793 to 1055 of the family's 1533-position model. The record is from RNAcentral.